GUUAACGCAUUUGGUUAACCUGUUAACGCAAAACAGAAUGUUAUUCCUGCGUUAACAAAAAAAUAGAAUGCAGAAUUUUCUGCGUUUUUCAUCGUUGGAGGACUUUCGGACCUCCGAUUUCGAUUCCUUAAAAAACCAAACGUUCAGAAAAUUAUAACUAAUACAAUAAUCUCAUUAUAUAAGGUUAAUUUACAGUUUUAACACAAUCAAUCACCACAAAUCAAGAAUACUUAUCAAAAUUGUUAGGUUUUAGGGGAUUCACGUAAAC
Molecule: long non-coding RNA, 268 nt
Filed under: Lathyrus oleraceus (garden pea)
Lineage: Eukaryota; Viridiplantae; Streptophyta; Magnoliopsida; Fabales; Fabaceae
Description: Pisum sativum (pea) long non-coding RNA (PSAT_LNC040295)
Source: RNAcentral